This 301-nucleotide ribosomal RNA is filed under the name uncultured bacterium. RNAcentral's name for it is "partial 16S ribosomal RNA". It matches the Rfam family "Bacterial small subunit ribosomal RNA", at positions 509 to 807 of the family's 1533-position model. The record is from RNAcentral.
CAGCAGCCACGGUAACACGAAGGGUGCAAGCGUUAAUCGGAAUUACUGGGCGUAAAGCGUGCGUAGGCGGUGAGUUAAGUCUGCUGUGAAAUCCCCGGGCUUAACCUGGGAACUGCGCUUGUGACUGCACAGCUAGAGUAUGGCAGAGGGGGGUGGAAUUCCACGUGUAGCAGUGAAAUGCGUAGAGAUGUGGAGGAACACCGAUGGCGAAGGCAGCCCCCUGGGCCAAUACUGACGCUCAUGCACGAAAGCGUGGGGAGCAAACAGGAUUAGAUACCCGUGUAGUCCCUGUCUCUUAUAC